This 181-nucleotide non-coding RNA is filed under the name Oxobacter pfennigii. The record is from RNAcentral. Lineage: Bacteria; Bacillati; Bacillota; Clostridia; Eubacteriales; Clostridiaceae.
AUUGAAUUGCGAAAUACAGGUUUAAUCUAUUUAGAUUAUAAAAGGGAAGCAGGUGAAAGUCCUGUACGGUCCCGCCGCUGUAAAUGUGGAGCCAUUACACUUCUAAGCCACUGGUUAUCCGGGAAGGCGUGUCAUGGUGAUGAUGCUAAGUCAGAAGACCUGCCUGUAUUUAAAAACACCA